Nerophis ophidion (straightnose pipefish) is the source of this 300-nucleotide long non-coding RNA. RefSeq lists it as uncharacterized. The record is from RefSeq and is a predicted model, not a curated record. The transcript is spliced from 2 exons. Lineage: Eukaryota; Metazoa; Chordata; Actinopteri; Syngnathiformes; Syngnathidae.
AGUUUAGCCACUUCCGGUUCACGAUGUUAGUUCUUCAGUUCACAAAAAACGAGAAGGAGACGAGUUGUGUUAACUCUUACAAGCCUGGGAAAAGACAAGUCUGUUCCAAGUCCAUGUGAGGCUUUUUGUCCCGAGGAGCAGCUUCCAGCGCCGCAGGGUCUUCUUCUUCUUUCUUCUUCUUCUUCUGAUGGCGCUUCCUCUUUCUCCUCUUCUCCGUCCUGGAGUUAUCGUCGUGGAGAAUGAUGAGGUCUGUGUCGUGGGACGAGGGACACUCGGUGCCUUUCGGACACCAACCGAACG